UUUAUUUCUCUUCACCAAAAAGUGAUACAGACAAUCAGAAAAUAAGCCCAAAAUAAGAAAUGUUCAGCUGACCCAUAUUAGGAAGUUUAAGACUAGCUAAGUACUAGUCUUCCCCUAAAAUAGGGUUUCUUAAUUAGAGCUUCCCAUAAAUCCCAAUCCUACUCUCCGCCGUUCCCAUGUUUCUUGUUCCCUUCUCCUUGUCGUUACUCAUUUUCUUUCUCUGGUCAUUAAUGUGCUCCAUCCGUGGUUGUGGAAGUGUUGUAUUAGCUAACAGAGGUAUUUGCUUUUUGAUGUUGUUCCACCUCCAACUAAACUAGCAACUAACUUCAUCUUUUUUUCAGAUGUGAAAUCCGGUGGAGGCGUUUGUAGUUCAAGAUGAACUUUUUGUUGGGAUUUAACCAUGACACUCCUCCUGAAGGCUUUGAGGUAUAUCGACCUGCUGGAUCGAGUCUGCACUUCCAGUGAUUUAUCGGUUUGAGAUCCCCCACUUUUUGCUUGUCCUUUUUUGUGAGUUGAGGUAGCUCUAGGCUAAUAAGCUUCAAUACAACUAGAUCGUCUCUUAGAAGACAAAAUUCUUAUCUGUACAUAUUAUCGUUGUGUAUUUCUGAUUUGUAACUGCACUUAGCUUAGCUUAUUGGGUUAAUCCUCCUUGUUUUAAUUCUCAAUGACGGAAUUUGUUGUUUGUCUAUGUUAAUGUUCCGUCUUCCUUUGCUUGGUAGAUUGUAGAAACUUCCUACUUCUAUCUUUUCUGCUUGAUCUAGGGCCAUAUUUGCUAGAUAGUCUGUGAACUGAUUAGCUUCCUGAAAUAUAUUCCUUAUUUGAACUUGUUUCCUUGAUAUAUUCUGUUGUAUGUCCUCUAUCUUUUACAUUUGUG
Molecule: long non-coding RNA, 874 nt
Filed under: Solanum tuberosum (potato)
Lineage: Eukaryota; Viridiplantae; Streptophyta; Magnoliopsida; Solanales; Solanaceae
Description: long non-coding RNA (STUB_LNC002720)
Source: RNAcentral